UACGUAGGGGGCGAGCGUUGUCCGGAAUCAUUGGGCGUAAAGCGUGUGUAGGCGGUCCACUAAGUCGGGUGUGAAAGCCCUGGGCUCAACCCAGGAAGUGCACUCGAAACUGGCGGGCUAGAGUAUCGGAGAGGUUGGUGGAAUUCUCGGUGUAGAGGUGAAAUUCGUAGAUAUCGAGAGGAACACCGGUGGCGAAGGCGGCCAACUGGACGAAUACUGACGCUGAGACACGAAAGCGUGGGGAGCAAACAGG
Molecule: ribosomal RNA, 253 nt
Filed under: uncultured bacterium
Lineage: Bacteria
Description: partial 16S ribosomal RNA
Rfam family: Bacterial small subunit ribosomal RNA
Source: RNAcentral